Molecule: non-coding RNA, 125 nt
Organism: Brachypodium distachyon (stiff brome)
Lineage: Eukaryota; Viridiplantae; Streptophyta; Magnoliopsida; Poales; Poaceae
Source: Rfam
AAUCUACUCCCUCCGUUCCAUAAUUCUUGUCGAAAUAUUACAUGUAUCUAGACAUUUUUUAGGAAUAGAUACAUCCACAUUUGGGCAAAUUUGAGACAAGAUUUAUGGAACGGAGGUAGUAUUCU